UGAAAUAUUAAUCGUUAGCCUCCUUAAAAUGAGAGAUUUGUUACAGAAAAUAUGAUAUGGAACAAGGUCUACUCAUUCUCAUUAGAAACCCUCUUUAUAUAGAGGUGAAUUUCAACGGUAAUUGCACGCACAUAAUGACGAUAAUCAAUGGUAAUAACAAUGUACAUAAUGACUGAUAUAAUUAAUUGAGCCGUUACAUCCGUUAAUCACUAAUGCCUUAAUCUAUUCUCGUCAGUUACUUUGACGAAGGCACACAUAAGGUAUUUUUCCUUCAACACUCCCCCUUGUGCCAAGUCAAAGUUAAAACAGUGCAUAUGGUGUUGCCUCCAUUAAAAACCUUGNNNNNNNNNNNNNNNNNNNNNNNNNNNNNNNNNNNNNNNNNNNNNNNNNNNNNNNNNNNNNNNNNNNNNNNNNNNNNNNNNNNNNNNNNNNNNNNNNNNNNCAUCUACAUAAACAAUAGCAAAGAUAUAUUAAUUACGUAGUCGCAAAGACAUCCACGUAAAUUAUUUUCCAAGAAUGAUAAUUUAGAUUUCAAUACCAAGAUUCAUAAUGGUCACACUAUUUUCGAUGCUUUGUGAAAAUACUUUAUCACAAUAAUUUAGAUGUUAUGAAUGUACUUUUCAUAACAACCUAAUUUAUAGGACAUGCAAAAUGGUAAUAUUUACUAAAAUAAUUAAAAAAAUAGUCGUAAUAUAUACAAUCAGUUUAAUAGUAAAACUAGAUUUCACAUUUUACCAUGUCAUUCAUUAGCACCAUAGUAAAUAGUUAAUAGUAAUAGUAACUAUUAAUUACCACACAGUAAGUUAAAGAGUUACCUCAGCACCAGUGAGGUGAAAAAUAAUUCGAAUCGGGUUAAAACGCGGGUCGGGCUCUGAGAAUCCGGGUCGAGCUUCUAUGUUCGGGUCGCCGGCCGGGAUGGGCAGAUCGACGCUGGGCUUGUGAAAGGAGCUAGUGCGGCGGCGUUGCGGAGCGAGCGCUGGACAGAGCAAGGCGGUGCGUUCGGGGUUUGGGGUUUGCGUCACCGGGCUUGAUCGGUCGAAGCAGAACCGGCGCUCUUCGGAUCUGGGCUGCUCGCCGGGGUGCACAAACGUCGUUGGUGGCGCGCUCGGAUCGGCUCGGGCUCGGCUCGGGGCUGGUUGGAUCUCAGCAGUAGGGCUAAGGGUACACCGGUCCGCCGGUGAGGAGAGAAAGGCAGUGAUGUUACUGUCUAGGUGGGAAAAACGGCUAGGGGUUUAUUUUUUUUUUUGUUUGGUCCGAAAACUACAAACGUAAACUAGAGCAACGUGUCUGAUAACGUGUUACAGAAAAUAUGAUAUGGAACAAGGUCUACUCAUUCUCAUUAGAAACCCUCUUUAUAUAGAGGUGAAUUUCAACGGUAAUUGCACGCACAUAAUGACGAUAAUCAAUGGUAAUAACAAUGUACAUAAUGACUGAUAUAACUAAUUGAGCCGUUACAUCCGUUAAUCACUAAUGCCUUAAUCUAUUCUCGUCAGUUACUUUGACGAAGGCACACAUAAGGUAUUUUUCCUUCAACAAGAUUUAGUUUGUCAAUAAUGAGUUAUAUAUACUUUCCAGAGGCUGGGAGAUAGAUUUCAUAUCUCUAUCCUAAAGAAAGAAGUAAAAAUUACGGCUUCAUGUCAUUUUCUUUUAUUAACUAUUUGUCUUUUAACUUUAGUUAAUUACGGCUUGUUGCGAAAAAUUACGGCUUUAUGCCGCAAAAUAGCCUACUAGGUUUCGGUGGUACCCAAUGUUCUUGGUCUCGGUCUAUGCACCUUGUGUACCUUAUUUGCUUUAGAUAGGCAGCCCUAGGGGUGGGUAUAAAAUCCCGUAAUCCCGAACCCGUCCCGAAAUUUACCGGGACGGGACAGGAUUUAAAUCUCAAAACGUUAGGCCCGUCUCGUCCCGUCUCGUCUCUAUACAACGGGACGGGACACGGGACGGAUAAUUCAAGUCCCGUUUAGGCCCGUCCCAUCCCGUUAUUUUAAUAAUUGAUUAUUUAUUGAUUAAAAUGUGAUUUGAGCCUUUCAUUUAAGUGUUUUCAUCUUAGCUUUUUGUUUCUUUAAGUUAAUUGACUGUCUCCAAUUCACUAACAAUGAUGUUUAAUACUUUAAUUUGUUGAUUGUUGUAGACUCUUUUCUUACACCGUAGUGGUGAUGACAUGUUUAGAGAAAGUAAACAGUAUAAACUCUCUUAUUACACCAUUUUGUACUUGUAAAUAUGUUACAAGUACUUGUUAAUACUUAAUAAGUAAAUAACACUAUAAAACUAUGAAACUUUUUUUUUUACUUACAAGUUUAUUUUCAACUUUUUUUAUUUGGGACUGGGCCCGUCUCGUCUCAUCCCGUCCCGUCCCAACCGGGAUAGGGCCCGGGUGGGAUGAAAUCUAAAAAUGGCAAAUCUCGUCCCGUCUCGUCCUUUUUUCAAUGUCCGGGACGGGCCGUGGGAUUACCUCUAUCCCGUCACAUCCCGUCCCAUGCCCAGCCCUAAGCAGCCCGUCUUUUGAUUUAUCAAAUGGGCGCAACCUUCUAGUGACAGAACAAGACUUAGUGUCGUCGGGUUUAUUUUGUAGCGACAACAUAUUAGGAAAACUACAUUAUUGGAUAUUCUUAUGAUCUUUCUAUUAUGUCACCGCUAUUACAAAUCAAAUAGAGUCGUCAUUAGAGUAAUACUAUUUGCUAGUUGAUGUUUGUUUAAGUAUAUGUACUUUGUAAUUAUUCUUGAUAUUAUGUCGGGAUUUCAUUGUAACAAGGGAUUUCAAAGAAAAGUAGUGGUUUUAUCUUCAAAUAAAAUGCUUCAGAAAAACUUCAUAAAUCAUAGGUACCAACAGACAACAGUACACCUUUCUCAAAGUUGCGACGGAAAAAGAUUAACCUACAUUAGAGCCCAAUUAUAUUUAGUGGUCUAAAUUGAUUUCUUCUUUGUAACACUAAUCGAUAGGGCCCCGAUUCUAGUACUUCCCAGUUCCCCAAAUCCAUUUUUGAACUUGGAGCAAAAUGCUUGAAUUGUCUCGUCUUUUUUUUUUUUUUUUUCGCAUGAAGAAAGUGUACCCCUAGCUACUACCGGCCAAUAUUGAGAUUGACGAUAUUGCCGUCAUGGCUAUAAUAUUGUGAAUGGAUCUAUGGAGGAAUCAUAAACAGUCGACAUGCAUACCUAUG
RNAcentral lists this long non-coding RNA (3155 nucleotides) under Fragaria vesca (wild strawberry). RNAcentral describes it as "long non-coding RNA (FVES_LNC001648)". The record is from RNAcentral. Lineage: Eukaryota; Viridiplantae; Streptophyta; Magnoliopsida; Rosales; Rosaceae.